CCUGAUAGCUCAGUUGGUAAAGAAUCUGUCUGCAAUGCAGGAUACCUGGGUUCGAUCCCUGGGUCAGGA
This 69-nucleotide transfer RNA is filed under the name Ovis aries (sheep). It matches the Rfam family "tRNA". From Rfam's summary of the family: Transfer RNA (tRNA) molecules are approximately 80 nucleotides in length. Their secondary structure includes four short double-helical elements and three loops (D, anti-codon, and T loops). Lineage: Eukaryota; Metazoa; Chordata; Mammalia; Artiodactyla; Bovidae. The record is from Rfam by way of RNAcentral.